Molecule: long non-coding RNA, 309 nt
Filed under: Homo sapiens (human)
Lineage: Eukaryota; Metazoa; Chordata; Mammalia; Primates; Hominidae
Description: non-protein coding lnc-LIN28B-3:3
Source: RNAcentral
UCAAAUAGCAAACUCAACCAACCAAGAUAUGAAAAUGACUCAAUAAAGAGAAGAAAAAGUUAAAGUACUUGACAAAAUGAGAUAUGCUGCCACAAUUUUGAACUUUACUUCUUAUGAGAAGGCCCAGGAGGAGAUUUAAACACAGACGUGUGCACAGUGGAAAGAUCUGUGACAACAGAGGGAGAAAUUCAGCCAUCCAAGCCAUCCACAAGUGAAGGAGAGAGGUCUCAAUGAAACCAACACUGCUGACAACUUGAUCUUGGACUGCUACCCUGGAUAACUGUGAGGAAAUAAAUUUCUGGUGUUUUA